This 235-nucleotide ribosomal RNA is filed under the name uncultured bacterium. RNAcentral describes it as "partial 16S ribosomal RNA". It matches the Rfam family "Bacterial small subunit ribosomal RNA", at positions 99 to 334 of the family's 1533-position model. The record is from RNAcentral.
CGGACGGGUGAGUAACGCGUGGGUAACCUGCCUCAUACAGGGGGAUAGCAGCUGGAAACGGCUGGUAAUACCGCAUAAGCGCACAGUACCACAUGGUACAGUGUGAAAAACUCCGGUGGUAUGAGAUGGACCCGCGUCUGAUUAGCUAGUUGGCGGGGUAACGGCCCACCAAGGCGACGAUCAGUAGCCGACCUGAGAGGGUGACCGGCCACAUUGGGACUGAGACACGGCCCAA